RNAcentral lists this ribosomal RNA (253 nucleotides) under uncultured bacterium. RNAcentral describes it as "partial 16S ribosomal RNA". It matches the Rfam family "Bacterial small subunit ribosomal RNA", at positions 524 to 776 of the family's 1533-position model. The record is from RNAcentral.
UACGUAGGUGGCAAGCGUUGUCCGGAAUUAUUGGGCGUAAAGCGCGCGCAGGUGGUUUAAUAAGUCUGAUGUGAAAGCCCACGGCUCAACCGUGGAGGGUCAUUGGAAACUGGGAAACUUGAGUGCAGAAGAGGAGAGUGGAAUUCCAUGUGUAGCGGUGAAAUGCGCAGAGAUAUGGAGGAACACCAGUGGCGAAGGCGGCUCUCUGGUCUGUAACUGACGCUGAUGUGCGAAAGCGUGGGGAUCAAACAGG